This 378-nucleotide ribosomal RNA is filed under the name uncultured eukaryote. Its description in RNAcentral is "partial 18S ribosomal RNA". It matches the Rfam family "Eukaryotic small subunit ribosomal RNA", at positions 592 to 976 of the family's 1831-position model. The record is from RNAcentral.
CAAUAGCGUAUAUUAAUGUUGUUGCAGUUAAAAAGCUCGUAGUUGGAUUUCGGGUGGGACGCAGCGGUCUCGCAUUGCGUUUGUACUGCUGCAGCCCUCCUUCUUGCCGGGGGCGGCCUCUCGGACUUCACUGUCUGGGGGUCAGAAUCGGCGAUGUUACUUUGAGUAAAUUAGAGUGUUCAAAGCAAGCUUACGCUCUGAAUAUAAUAGCAUGGGAUAACACGACAGGACUCUGGCCUAUCGUGUUGGUCUAUAGGACCAGAGUAAUGAUUAAGAGGGACAGUCGGGGGCAUUCGUAUUCCGUUGUCAGAGGUGAAAUUCUUGGAUUUACGGAAGACGAACAUCUGCGAAAGCAUUUGCCAAGGAUGUUUUCAUUGA